AGGCGACGCUGGCGGCAGGCCUAACACAUGCAAGUCGAACGCCCAGCAAUGGGAGUGGCAGACGGGAUAGUAACACGUGGGAACGCGCCCUUCGGUUCGGAAUAACUCAGGGAAACUUGAGCUAAUACCGGAUACGCCCUUACGGGGAAAGAUUUAUUGCCGAAGGAACGGCCCGCGUCGGAUUAGCUAGUUGGUGAGGUAAUGGCUCACCAAGGCGACGAUCCGUAGCUGGUCUGAGAGGAUGACCAGCAUCACUGGGACUGAGACACGGCCCAGACUCCUACGGGAGGCAGCAGUGGGGAAUAUUGGACAAUGGGCGCAAGCCUGAUCCAGCCAUGCCGCGUGGAUGAUGAAGGCCCUAGGGUUGUAAAGUCCUUUUAACGGGGAAGAUAAUGACGGUACCCGUAGAAUAAGCCCCGGCUAACUUCGUGCCAGCAGCCGCGGUAAUACGAAGGGGGCUAGCGUUGCUCGGAAUUACUGGGCGUAAAGCGCACGUAGGCGGGUCGAUAAGUCGGGGGUGAAAUCCUGGAGCUCAACUCCAGAACUGCCUUCGAAACUGUCGAUCUUGAGUUCGGGAGAGGUGAGUGGAACUGCGAGUGUAGAGGUGAAAUUCGUAGAUAUUCGCAAGAACACCAGUGGCGAAGGCGGCUCACUGGCCCGAUACUGACGC
RNAcentral lists this ribosomal RNA (670 nucleotides) under uncultured bacterium. Its description in RNAcentral is "bacterial SSU rRNA". It matches the Rfam family "Bacterial small subunit ribosomal RNA", at positions 28 to 746 of the family's 1533-position model. The record is from RNAcentral.